RNAcentral lists this ribosomal RNA (448 nucleotides) under Sordariomycetes sp. RNAcentral describes it as "eukaryotic LSU rRNA". The record is from RNAcentral. Lineage: Eukaryota; Fungi; Ascomycota; Sordariomycetes.
AAAGCUGGCYUUCGGGUCCGCGUUGUAAUUUGUAGAGGAUGCUUUUGGUUAGGUGCMUUACGAGUUCCCUGGAACGGGACGCCUUAGAGGGUGAGAGCCCCGUACGUUUGGUUACCGAGCCUCUGUAAAGCUCCUUCGACGAGUCGAGUAGUUUGGGAAUGCUGCUCUAAAUGGGAGGUAAAUUUCUUCUAAAGCUAAAUACCGGCCAGAGACCGAUAGCGCACAAGUAGAGUGAUCGAAAGAUGAAAAGCACUUUGAAAAGAGGGUUAAAUAGCACGUGAAAUUGUUGAAAGGGAAGCGUUUAUGACCAGACUUUUUCCUAGCGGAUCAUCCGGCGUUCUCGCCGGUGCACUUCGCUAGGUUUAGGCCAGCAUCGGUUUUCGCAGGGGGAUAAAAGCAGUGGUAAUGUGGCUCCCUCCGGGGAGUGUUAUAGACCGCUGUAUAAUAC